AUCGACCGGGUAAGCCACAACUGGUUGGAACGCAACUCCUUGAUGUCGUUGAAGUGAGACUUGUCGAUGACUUCCUGAGUCCUCUUGUCCGCGUGGUACUCCCUUUGCAUAACAACCGCGGAAUCCAGCUUCGACUCGAUGAUGUCCAGCCUCCGGCUGAUAUCGGUCAAUGUGGGUUGCCAUUCGG
This 187-nucleotide unclassified non-coding RNA is filed under the name uncultured fungus. RNAcentral's name for it is "sequence contains ITS1". Lineage: Eukaryota; Fungi. The record is from RNAcentral.